Molecule: ribosomal RNA, 252 nt
Filed under: uncultured bacterium
Lineage: Bacteria
Description: partial 16S ribosomal RNA
Rfam family: Bacterial small subunit ribosomal RNA
Source: RNAcentral
UACGUAGGUCCCGAGCGUUGUCCGGAUCUAUUGGGCGUAAAGCCAGCGCAGGUGGUUUAUUAAGUCUGGUGUAAAAGGCAGUGGCUCAACCAUUGUAUGCAUUGGAAACUGGUAGACUUGAGUGCAGGAGAGGAGAGUGGAAUUCCAUGUGUAGCGGUGAAAUGCGUAGGUAUAUGGAGGAACACCGGUGGCGAAAGCGGCUCUCUGGCCUGUAACUGACACUGAGGCUCGAAAGCGUGGGGAGCAAACAGG